RNAcentral lists this ribosomal RNA (441 nucleotides) under uncultured Caldilinea sp. RNAcentral's name for it is "partial 16S ribosomal RNA". Lineage: Bacteria; Bacillati; Chloroflexota; Caldilineae; Caldilineales; Caldilineaceae. The record is from RNAcentral.
GACUACUGGGGUAUCUAAGCCCGUUCGCUACCCACGCUUUCGCACAUGAGCGUCAGUUCAGUGCCAGGGUGCCGCUUUCGCCACUGGUAUUCCUCCCGAUAUCUACGCAUUCCACCACUACACCGGGAAUUCUGCACCCCUCUCACUGCCUCAAGCCAAACAGUUUCCAACGACCUCUCCCAGUUAAGCCAGGAGCUUUCACGUCAGACUUAUUCGGCCGCCUGCGCGCGCUUUACGCCCAGUAAUUCCGGAUAACGCUUGCCACCUACGUAUUACCGCGGCUGCUGGCACGUAGUUAGCCGUGACUUAUUCCUGGGGUACCGUCCUUCCUCUUCCCCCAGAAAAGGAGUUUACGACCCGAAGGCCUUCAUCCUCCACGCGGCGUUGCUGCAUCAGGGUUGCCCCCAUUGUGCAAUAUUCCUCACUGCAGCCCCCCGUAGG